Gallus gallus (chicken) is the source of this 110-nucleotide microRNA precursor. The record is from Ensembl. NCBI's taxonomy places the organism in Eukaryota, Metazoa, Chordata, Aves, Galliformes, Phasianidae.
AGCUACUGACUGCUGCAUCAGUUGGUCGGUUGUGCUUAGAGAUGUUUAUUUUCAUGUCCCACUGGGCACACUGUGACUGGCUACAUGCAGCACUCAGUUACUUCAGCUCC